AUGACUGGUUACUGCAACGCGGUGAGAAAGCUUGAGAAAAAGUUCGAGGGGUUAGAACUCCACCACGUCCCCCAACUGAAAAAUCAAGCAGCCGAUGAAUUGGCAAAGAUAGGUUCCAAGAGAGAAGCCAUUCCCAGCAAUGUGUUCUUGGAGCAUAUUCACACGGCGACAGUUCAGGAAGACCAUUUCACUAAAGAGCCCUCGCAACCCAAGAGCGCCAUGGAUCCGACUGAAAUCGAGGUCCCAGCUGUGGUCGACCUGAUCAUGGAGGUUUUGGCCAUUACUCCCGACUGGACGGUGCCCUACAUUGCGUACAUCCUCAGAAAAAGCUCCCAGAGGAUGAAGAAGAAGCUCGACAGAUCGUCCGUCGAUCCAAAGCUUUUACUGUGA
Molecule: ribosomal RNA, 390 nt
Filed under: Triticum aestivum (bread wheat)
Lineage: Eukaryota; Viridiplantae; Streptophyta; Magnoliopsida; Poales; Poaceae
Description: partial small subunit ribosomal RNA
Source: RNAcentral